RNAcentral lists this transfer RNA (65 nucleotides) under Armandia sp. GK-2021. RNAcentral's name for it is "tRNA-Glu". It matches the Rfam family "tRNA". Rfam says of the family: Transfer RNA (tRNA) molecules are approximately 80 nucleotides in length. Their secondary structure includes four short double-helical elements and three loops (D, anti-codon, and T loops). The record is from RNAcentral. Lineage: Eukaryota; Metazoa; Annelida; Polychaeta; Opheliidae.
UUUAAGGUGGUGUAAGCAAACACAUUGGGUUUUCAUUCCAAAAUUGUAAAGUUUUACCCUUAAAA